CACUGGUCUAAGAUUAGCCAUGCAUGUGUAAGUGUAAAUAUUCUAUACGGGAACUGUGAAUGGGGCUUUAUAUCUCUUAUAUCUUAUUUGUGAUAGUGCCCUACUUGGAGGCCGUCUGUGUCUAUGGCUAAUACAUGAGAAAGUCCUCCUCCCGACCUCUGGAAUGGGAGUGAAAACCAUAUGCUAAAUCAUGAUAUUGAGACUGAUUAACCAAUCAUAUCGCAUGCUUAAUGCACCGGGGAUUGUUUCGAGUAUCUGCCCUAUCAAUUUCCGAUGGAACAAUUUGGGACUACCAUGGAAAGGACUGCCAUCGAAUAAUUUGGGAACGAUUUAUAAGAGGGAGACUGAGAAAAGGGUACCUCAUCCACGGAAAGCACCUCGAGCGAAAGUUACCCGAUCCUGACUCACCGAGGCAUGGACCAUGAAUGACGAUGCGGGACUAUACGACUUGCGAUUCGAUUGAGACCUAUGAACGACUCUAAUACAUAAGCCAUUGGAGGGCGAGGAUGGUGCCAGCAGCCGCGGUAAUUCCAGCUCCAAUAGCAAAUAUUAACCCUGUUGCAGUAAAAAAGCUCAUUGC
This 580-nucleotide ribosomal RNA is filed under the name Blastocystis sp. RNAcentral's name for it is "SSU rRNA". It matches the Rfam family "Eukaryotic small subunit ribosomal RNA", at positions 29 to 634 of the family's 1831-position model. The record is from RNAcentral. Lineage: Eukaryota; Bigyra; Opalinata; Blastocystidae.